AGCUAAAUCGAAAUACGAAGAAGCAGCGAUCGAGGAAAAUAUCAACAGAAAAAAUUACUCUUCUUGGCUUGUAAAUUUUUGCGGUUGACCAGCGUGAUUUCUGAACGUCUGGUACAACAAAACGGAACACGUAUUCAGCGUUGUAUGAAAAAUUGCAAAGCGGUGGAAAGUCAAGGUAACCCAAUUCGGAGGCAAAAAAAUCGAGCACGAUCGUCCGCAGGGCAAGAAAAAGACCCUUAAGGCGUGUCCACGUGCAGGAAUCGCAACGCAUGCUGGCCGGCUGCUGCGAGCUUUAUGAUCGAAAGAGAGAUCGCGCGGAGGAUGGGUUAACAAUGCGCGGGAGCGAGAAGGAGAAUGUCAAGUGGACAUUGUUGACGGUGACAAUGCCGCUGAAAUUGCCGGAGAACAAAGAGGUCUUACGAUGACGCUGCUGGCGGACGAGCGAGCGAGCGAGCGAAUUGAGCGAGUUGCUCGUGGACAGGGACUUCCCGUAUAUUCUCCUGCAUACUGGCCCGCUCUUCGCGCACUCUCUCUCUUUCUUCCUCUGCGUCGAACCAAGCGGCAGAGAAGCGCGUUUCGUCUUCGUCGUUUGGCGAACACAUCGUACGCCACCCCUUGUGUAUCGCAUGGCAUUAUAACUAUCGGCUCUAUCGCGACGCCUGUGUCGAUACUCGUGAAUUAAGCACCUUGAUCCAUUAAGGAUCGGCGUACUCGUGUGUUCGGAGUUAACGGGUCUGUUUGGCAUUGUUUUAACGCCGCGGUGACCGUGUGCAGCGCCGUUAAUACGACGGCUGAUAACGCGUUAACGGCAUUACGUCAUCGUUUACCGAAUACAAGCAAACGGUUCGCAUAUCAAUCAGACGUAAACCGAGUGAUUGUUUCCACCGUUCGAUCACCAACACGUCGAUUCCACGAUUUGUAGCCGUAAUUCCGACCUCGUUAUUUCCAUAGGAAUUAAUUAACAGCGAAAGGAGAUGGAAUUUAACCGACUGGUAUUGUGGUCAUUUAAUCACGUGGACAGACCAAUGUUGAGGAGUUUACAAAAGGUGCAAGGUUCGUUAACGAAACCACAAAGUAUUAUCGCAGAAGUAAAAAUUCCUAUCGUAGGGAGAAAAAUAUUCCGUCGAAUAUGCUUUGCCAAUUAUUCUUAUUAUUAUUAAUUCCCCAAUUAAGCUAUUCAGACUGUCGGCGAAUACUUUCUCCUAAAUUCUUGUGUGUCCCUAGGCGACUGCCUACGCUGGAAUAAUACGUCUCGCGACACACAGUUACGGAUCGAAGUCAACGAAAGGUCGCUCGGGGGACGACCUACGUUCGACGAUUUACCGAUUUCGAUAAGAGUCGAGUCAACCUUCUCUUUCUUCUUUCUUUUCUUUUACAGCCCAGCUACAUGAUCCUAACCGAGAUUUCGAGUCUGUAUCUUCGAUUUUUUCAUCGAGACGCUGCAACCUAUAAACUUCGAUACUUGAUCGAUUUUACGACUCGGCUGUAUCGCGGAUGCUACCGUACGAGCGGAGCUCGAAAGUUCCACGCUGCGCUUGUGUUCUUUGCUCGCGGAGAAAUGUACGGGCACGCGUACAUUUUCAUCUGUCUAUAGGUGGAACCGCGGGCCGAGAGAGAACGAGAGAGAAAGCGUCCGGAAGAGCACGGGAGAGAGUCGUAUAUACGUAUAUAUACAUCUGUAUAUACAUGCAGGUAUACAUCGCCAUCGUUCCGUGCUUUCAUUCGUUCGCGGAAAGAAGUAAAGAGCUUUGUCGCCGCGGCAUCAAAAGCUUGAAUGACGCGUCGAUGAAAGAAGGAAGUAUCGGUACAAGAAACUGCACAGUGAAUACUGAAAAGAAUGUAGUCACGGGAAGAAGGAGGACAAGGGGCAGGGGGGAGCAGGAACGGCAGAAGGAGUUAAAAAGGAAAGGAAAAGAUAGCGAAAACGGGAAAGCAAAAAAGGAGGGUACCGGAGGAGUAUUGCGGGUAGAAAACCUUGCAGGGAAAGACCGAUAAAAGUUUCUGCCUUGAGACGGAUAUUGGAAAUACCUUCUUCCUCCGAUCGACUAUCGCGAUUUAUUAAUUAAUUCAUUCGCCUUUCGCGCCAAAUCGACCAAAUAGGAAAAAAUUCCAGCAACUUGGCGAACGGCCAUCGAAAACGAUAAUAUCGCAGCGUUGUUUCGUUGUUCCCGCUAAACUCUCGUAACAACUCGUGAGAUCACGAUCGCGGUUAGGAUUUGGUAAAACGAAUCGAUGGAUUACAUCAGUGCCAGGCCACGUUCGAGUUCCAAUAGCUAAGUCAAGCAUGCCGGAUUUCGUUAAACUAUUACGAGUAUUCAAAGCGUGAGCCUUGUUGCGUAUACAGGGUGUCCCGUAUAGCUGGCCCGUGGAAUCACGACGAAAUGACGUGAAGCUGGGAGAGCAGAGGAGAGGAGAGAAGACUGAAAAGCCGUACCCGCGGCAGCGUAUGCAGAUAAUCGGUACAAAGCCUUUCGUCGAAUGACAAAGGAGAGCACUGGCCAGCCUCGUGGUUCUCUUGCAUCUAUAUGCCAACGCAUGCAUACACGCUCGCAUUCAGCCGGUAUUAUUAUACUGGAUGGCAGCAUGCUGCUAGGAAAGGCCCAGUUCCUAACGGCUUUAUUCUACUCGUUAAAACGAGAUAAAGCUUCCGCGGUGAUUCUUAUGAUUUUGUCGUGGAUUCAAGGAAACAUCUAUGACAUCGCGAGGAACUUCGCGUAAUACUUUUCUACUUCUACGCUACCGUUAUGGACGUGGUUGAGUAGCUUUAAUUAUUUACCAACGAGUACUGCCACCGACGCAAUUGUCAGAAUCGUCAGAACGGCGAAGACAGGAAAAGAAACCGUCGAGGUUAUUAGAUGUACAAACAGAGGAACGCGUGGAUAAAUUGUAAAGUAGGAAAUAUAUUUUAAUACAGGAGUGUAAGUACAAGUAGGGAUAUAAUUUGAGCUGGUCCAGAUCCGCACGCUAGCAGUGUUACCCUAUAACUGAAAGUCCCGAAGCCAUCGUCGCCUGUCUAGUGUCUAUGGUCUGCCUUCGUCUCGGUCUAUUGUCUAUACGCUGUCGAUGGCUUCAGUGCUCGAGAAAACUAAAAAGACCAGAUGUAGAGUUUCCUUAGAAGUGGUGACCACUUCAACGGAAACAUUAUUCGGAAUAAAUGAACUUCUGAUGGAAAAUGCUUAAUUGCAGCAACAAGCAUCGUUAAUAAGCAUUAUCUUUUAUCCUGCAAUUUGUUAAUCAAAUGGAGGAACAGAUACGAGGUAAAAAAAAAAAUUGUGCGCUUGGCAAGAUACUGCGAAAUGCUUAGAAACGUUGGAAAUGCAGCCAGUGACCGCGGUGCAGCGUACGCUUUCUCGAUCGCGUCGACAACGCGUCAGAAAGCAACAUCUUAUUUCGAUAAAAGUCGCGGAAGUCUAUUAAUCACUGGAGCGCAUUGUGACAUUCAACCGAGCGGCAUUCAGGGUUUCAAUAUUAUCGAUACUCAACAGCGGGGCCAGCAUCCGCGUCUAUUGAAAGAGAGUUUAUCAAUAGAGUGCAGGACACUCUUGCUGUAUCCGCCUCCAAAGCGUUCUAAGCUCAGCGACGUACCUACGAUCUUUCGGAAACGAUGACCGUCGUCAGGAAAAAAAUCUUUUUACGCAGGCUAAACGCGACUGGCGGUUCGACACGGGAACGCUGCAUUCGACGAUUUCCAAUUAAUAUAUCGUAUAAUAGACAGCCUUGAAAGCUUUUAUCUCUCCGGAGCGGUUUCACCAUCCAAGCACGUACGCAAAAGGAGGAUGAAACUAAUCUGGGUUAGUAUGGUUAAGGGGAUUUUCGAGAAAGCCACAAGUGGUCGAGACGGAUACUAUUCUUCCUUAUGUGAAACUUCGAUUAAGCUUAUACGUCGGAAAUAAUUCAUGUUAAUGCCAACAAGCGGCUAACUUUCAGGGAGUGUGAACGUUCAUGGUCAGACACACCUAUUGCCCCUCCUAUGGGAGAUCGAUAACGAAAGACAGGCUUCGGCUACUUUAAGGAGGUUCGAGACGUCAUGGUCAGACGUUGCCUUCAAUACGAAUAGACACGUUAGAAAGAAUACAUUUCGAAUAGUCUCACCUUCGUCUUAAGGAGAAUGAUUACACUACGGUCGGUCGUUGUUUCUCCUGGAAUUGCUCUUACUUUUUAAGAAGAAAGAAUAGGUAGUAUUCAGAUACUCAGAUAAUUCAGACAUUGUAAUGAUGCUUCAACGGAUGCAGAAAAACUCACGUUCGUGCACUCUUACUUUCUGAUCGAUCUUAAUUAUCAGCGGUACUUUCAAGCUCGUCAAAGAUAUCGUAUGCAGCGUGAAAGUCUCCCUGCAUUGGCGUUUGCAACGAAUCCUCCGUUAAUCCGGCCAGUAUAGAAAAAAACACGAAAAGCCCGACGAAUUCGCGGAAUGUACGGUUUCCUGACCAACAGACGAUUCUUUCCACGGUCCAGUUAGACGAUACAGAAUUAAGCUCGAAAAGUACUCGGCGAGUACCGGGACGAUGGAAUACCGGGCCUAUAGAGCUAUAAACAGCGACAAAAGGAUACCGAGUGGGCGACGAGCAUUGAAUGUACGAGAAAGGAUUGUAUGCCAGCGAACGAUGCUGACGAUGGUAGCGACGUUGCUGUUGCUUUUGGCAUACGUGUGUCACGUACGGUAUGUCUGUCUGCGGCCUGCUUUUCGGUGUAUCCGCGCUGCCGGCAGAAAAGAGGAGUAUUUUAGCUCGCGUCCAUAUGAACGUAGGGACGAAACAAUGUAGCUUUUGUGCGAGAAAGGAACGGAAAAGCAAAGCCAAAGAGAGAGCCUAAGAGCGAUUGAAAUGCUCGGCCGUCUGUCUCUUGUUCUCCACCGCCUCCCUUCGUCGUCCCACCCUCUUUAUCUAUUCUCUUUUCCUUCCUCUGCGUCUUUGCCGCUUCUGUCUUUUUACCACUCAGCCAUCUACGUCGUGCUUCUUCCUUCGCUUCGUCUUUGCUUUGAUCGCAACACUGCCAAACUGCGAGUGAUCGCAAACGCGUACACCUUCUCGGACAACGAUCAUCCAUUCCGAGUCUCUUCGUUCUUUAUACACGAUUCGCCUAACUCGUAAACCUUGACCUUUUUGCAGUUAGCUGUAAGAUGACAGUCGUGUGUACCAUAUAAAUUUUUUUUCUUUUUUUUUUAAUGUAGCACACGAUAAGAUGAAAUAAAAUGACAUUUCUCGUGUACAAGGUCGCGAAACAACUAUCGAAUUGAGAACGAUUCGUUACUACCCCCAAAGCCGAAGACGACAAAGAGAUUCUUUUUUUGGUCGAACCUCGAAGAGAAGCAAAGAUGUCAGAAUGAGAAAGUAACGACGCGCGGAGCGAAGACGCGGUUGGCAAUAGAAGGGUGGUAUGUGCAAGAAGGGCAAGUAUUGGUAGACACAGAUGUGAGGGGUGGUUGCAGGUUGAUAGUCAAGACUGCCUUCAGAUUCCAGAGUGAAGCAUUGUGUCCCGAACGCGCAUUGUCCUCCCGUCACCGGCAACUCGACAAUGCCGAGUCCGUAAGUUAGUAACCCUACCGUAAAAACUUAUCUCCACCCCAAACCAUCGACCUCCAGCCUCCAUGAUUCCGUUCGAUUUCCAACCACCUCCCGCCAACUCUUCCGCUUUUCUGUCCUGGCUCGUGACUUCUGCUGCUUUUACUCUUCCUCCUCCCUUCGAUUGCAAGAAUCAACGAUCUGUGUCUACGAUGUUCUUGUGUUCUCCCAGCAACAAGACAAAGGUCUUCGUCGGAGCUUCGAAUUCCGCUUCUCAAAUAAAUAUAGUCGUAAAACACAUUGACGGCUAAUGCCAACAAAUUAAUAACUAAAAUCCUCGUUCGAACCGAAAAAACGACUAACAGUAAAACAGGGAGCCGAAGAAGUCGAUCGUCAGCAAGCAGAGAAACACUCUGGGAUCGGAAGCGAACGUCCUGGGGACCGGAUACAAACAUUAGGGGUUGGCGGGUGGUCCUCUCGUUGGGACUCAAGUUGCCGAGCAGCCGGACAACGCGUGGUCGCCGGACAAAGCUCUUCUAAUUGUCCCCAUCAACGACGAAGAAUGGACCGCGGGCCUGCCGCUGACAAUUUCAUUUGUAAUUUGCAUAAGGCUUAUUAAAAUCACAAUGGACGUGGACCCAGAGGGAUGCUCGAUCGAGGUGGCCGCAGCCUUCUUUUUUGGACUGCUCGAUAGAGAAUAAUCACGGUCACCGCUGUGCUGGUAAUUGAACUUCAAUAAGGAGCGGAACUCGUUUCGACCAUUCGCGUCAACUACUCCUAAUAAAAAAGAUAAUCGACGAGAAAUUUAAAUCGUUGUGAACUUACGUUUG
Molecule: long non-coding RNA, 6331 nt
Organism: Bombus impatiens (common eastern bumble bee)
Lineage: Eukaryota; Metazoa; Arthropoda; Insecta; Hymenoptera; Apidae
Exons: 3
Source: RefSeq, a predicted model, not a curated record